RNAcentral lists this ribosomal RNA (254 nucleotides) under uncultured bacterium. Its description in RNAcentral is "partial 16S ribosomal RNA". It matches the Rfam family "Bacterial small subunit ribosomal RNA", at positions 524 to 776 of the family's 1533-position model. The record is from RNAcentral.
UACGUAGGGUGCGAGCGUUGUCCGGAAUUAUUGGGCGUAAAGAGCCCGUAGGCGGUGUGUCACGUCGUUCGUGAAAACCUGCAGCUUAACUGUGGGCGUGCGGUCGAUACGGGCAUCACUGGAGUUCGGCAGGGGAGACUGGAAUUCCCGGUGUAGUGGUGAAAUGCGUAGAUAUCGGGAGGAACACCAGUGGCGAAGGCGACUACCUGGCCUGUUCUUGACGCUGAGGCGCGAAAGCUAGGGGAGCAAACGGG